Molecule: ribosomal RNA, 256 nt
Filed under: uncultured bacterium
Lineage: Bacteria
Description: partial 16S ribosomal RNA
Rfam family: Bacterial small subunit ribosomal RNA
Source: RNAcentral
UACGUAGGGGCAAGCGUUGUCCGGAUUUAUUGGGCGUAAAGAGCGUGUAGGCGGCUUGGUAGGUCCGCUGUGAAAACUCGAGGCUCAACCCUCGAGAUGUCGGCGGAAACCACUUGGCUAGAGUCCGGAAGAGGAGAGUGGAAUUCCCGGUGUAGCGGUGAAAUGCGCAGAUAUCGGGAAGAACACCUAUGGCGAAGGCAGCUCCUCUGGGACGGUAACUGGACGCUGAGACGCGAAAGCGUGGGGAGCGAACAGG